AGUGCUCCCGCCCCCGGCCAUGUCUUGCCCUUGGCCGCCCACCCUCCCGCUUACCUGUUCUCGCGGCAGCUUCCCCUCGACGGCCCUGUUUUGCUACUGGUUUAAGUGCCGGCCUGCUUGAAGGGGCGGGAGGUGACCUUGCCGGGGCACACAGAGGCUUCAAGAAUCCCCAAGGUCGGACCGUGCAACCCUCUGUGUUGGGCAGGAACUCCCUCCAAGCAUGCCCGAAGGGGGCUGUCCUGCCUCUCCUAUGCAGAAAAUGAGGAUUCCAGAUUAGCUGGGCAAUCAGAGAAGUGGGAUGCUUCUCUGCCAAAAUUUGCAAAGGGGCCCUGACCUGACAGUUCCCUUCUGACGUCAGCUCCCCAGCUCUGGGAAAAGCCAGCUACCAUGAUGUGAGGACACUCAAGCUGCCUUUUGGAGAGGCCCGUGUGGUGUGGAUCAGGGGCCUCCCACCCAGAGCCAUGAGAGUGAGCCAUCCUGGAGGUGGGUCCUUCAGCCCCCAUCAAGACUUCAGAUGCCCCAGCUGACAUCUUGGCUGUGACCUCAUGAGAGGCCCAGAGCCAGCACCACCCAGCGAAGCUGCUCCCGAAUUUCUGACCGCCGGCAACCAUGAGAUCAUCCGUGCUUAUUGUUUUAAGCUGCUAGGUUUGGGGAUGUUUGUUACGCAGCAAUAGAUAAUGAAUACAGGUACCUAGACCGGCAAGCUCUUACUCUCCUGCCUAUGCUUUCUCCAGUGAGGGAUGAUGACAGUAGUGAUGGUGAUCUGGU
Molecule: long non-coding RNA, 768 nt
Organism: Choloepus didactylus (southern two-toed sloth)
Lineage: Eukaryota; Metazoa; Chordata; Mammalia; Pilosa; Megalonychidae
Exons: 4
Source: RefSeq, a predicted model, not a curated record